AUUAAACGCUGGCGGCAUGCCUUACACAUGCAAGUCGAACGGCAGCGGACCUUCGGGUGCCGGCGAGUGGCGAACGGGUGAGUAAUGCAUCGGAACGUGCCAUUGAGUGGGGGGAUAACGUAGCGAAAGUUACGCUAAUACCGCAUAUUCUGUGAGCAGGAAAGCAGGGGAUCGCAAGACCUUGCGCUGAUUGAGCGGCCGAUGUCAGAUUAGCUAGUUGGUGAGGUAAAGGCUCACCAAGGCGACGAUCUGUAGCGGGUCUGAGAGGAUGAUCCGCCACACUGGAACUGAGACACGGUCCAGACUCCUACGGGAGGCAGCAGUGGGGAAUUUUGGACAAUGGGGGCAACCCUGAUCCAGCCAUGCCGCGUGAGUGAAGAAGG
This 383-nucleotide ribosomal RNA is filed under the name uncultured bacterium. Its description in RNAcentral is "bacterial SSU rRNA". It matches the Rfam family "Bacterial small subunit ribosomal RNA", at positions 30 to 414 of the family's 1533-position model. The record is from RNAcentral.